Molecule: ribosomal RNA, 232 nt
Filed under: uncultured bacterium
Lineage: Bacteria
Description: partial 16S ribosomal RNA
Rfam family: Bacterial small subunit ribosomal RNA
Source: RNAcentral
GAUCAUGGCUCAGGAUGAACGCUAGCUACAGGCUUAACACAUGCAAGUCGAGGGGCAUCAGUUUGGUUUGCUUGCAAACCAAAGCUGGCGACCGGCGCACGGGUGAGUAACACGUAUCCAACCUGCCUCAUACUCGGGGAUAGCCUUUCGAAAGAAAGAUUAAUAUCCGAUAGCAUAUAUUUCCCGCAUGGGUUUUAUAUUAAAGAUUUAUCGGUGAUGGAUGGGGAUGCGU